UACGUAGGGUGCGAGCGUUGCCCGGAUUUAUUGGGCGUAAAGGGCGCGUAGGCGGCUCUGCACGUCCGUUGUGAAAUCGCCCGGCUCAACUGGGCGGGGUCAGCGGAUACGGCGGAGCUUGAGCAAGCUAGGGGGCAAUGGAAUUCCCGGUGUAGUGGUGGAAUGCGUAGAUAUCGGGAGGAACACCUGUGGCGAAAGCGGCUCACUGGACCACAACUGACGCUGAGGCGCGAAAGCUAGGGGAGCAAACAGG
RNAcentral lists this ribosomal RNA (253 nucleotides) under uncultured bacterium. Its description in RNAcentral is "partial 16S ribosomal RNA". It matches the Rfam family "Bacterial small subunit ribosomal RNA", at positions 524 to 776 of the family's 1533-position model. The record is from RNAcentral.